GACGAACGCUGGCGGCGUGCUUAACACAUGCAAGUCGAACGGAAAGGCCCUUCGGGGUACUCGAGUGGCGAACGGGUGAGUAACACGUGGGUGAUCUGCCCUGCACUUUGGGAUAAGCCUGGGAAACUGGGUCUAAUACCGAAUAGGACCACGCGCUUCAUGGUGUGUGGUGGAAAGCUUUUGCGGUGUGGGAUGGGCCCGCGGCCUAUCAGCUUGUUGGUGGGGUAAUGGCCUACCAAGGCGACGACGGGUAGCCGGCCUGAGAGGGUGACCGGCCACACUGGGACUGAGAUACGGCCAAGACUCAUACGGGAGGCAGAAGUGGGGAAUAUUGAACAAGGGGCGCAAGCCUGAUGCAGCGACGCCGAGUGAGGGAUGACGGCCUUCGGGUUGUAAACCUCUUUCAAUAGGGACGAAGCGCAAGUGACGGUACCUAUAGAAGAAGCACCGGCCAACUACGUG
This 462-nucleotide ribosomal RNA is filed under the name uncultured bacterium. Its description in RNAcentral is "partial 16S ribosomal RNA". It matches the Rfam family "Bacterial small subunit ribosomal RNA", at positions 28 to 507 of the family's 1533-position model. The record is from RNAcentral.